UACGUAGGGGGCAAGCGUUGUCCGGAAUUAUUGGGCCUAAAGCAUCCGUAGCCGGUUCUGCAAGUCUUCCGUUAAAUCCACCUGCUUAACAGAUGGGCCGCGGAAGAUACUAUAGAGCUAGGAGGCGGGAGAGGCAAGCGGUACUCGAUGGGUAGGGGUAAAAUCCGUUGAUCCAUUGAAGACCACCAGUGGCGAAGGCGGCUUGCCAGAACGCGCUCGACGGUGAGGGAUGAAAGCUGGGGGAGCAAACCGG
This 253-nucleotide ribosomal RNA is filed under the name uncultured bacterium. RNAcentral's name for it is "partial 16S ribosomal RNA". It matches the Rfam family "Bacterial small subunit ribosomal RNA", at positions 524 to 776 of the family's 1533-position model. The record is from RNAcentral.